AAGGCGGAAUAUUUAAGAGAUUAAUUGAUUGACGAUAAUCACAGAAGAAGCACCGGCUAACUCCGUGCCAGCAGCCGCGGUAAUACGGAGGGUGCGAGCGUUAAUCGGAAUGACUGGGCGUAAAGGGCACGCAGGUGGUGACUUAAGUGAGGUGUGAAAUCCCCGGGCUUAACCUGGGAACAGCAUUUCAGACUGGGUGACUAGAGUACUUUAGGGAGGGGUAGAAUUCCACGUGUAGCGGUGAAAUGCGUAGAGAUGUGGAGGAAUACCGAAGGCGAAGGCAGCCCCUUGGGAAGAUACUGACGCUCGAGUGCGAAAGCGUGGGGAGCAAACAGGAUUAGAUACCCUGGUAGUCCACGCUGUAAACGAUGUCGAUUUGGGGAUUGGGUGAACACUGGNUGCCCGA
Molecule: ribosomal RNA, 406 nt
Filed under: Histophilus somni
Lineage: Bacteria; Pseudomonadati; Pseudomonadota; Gammaproteobacteria; Pasteurellales; Pasteurellaceae
Description: bacterial SSU rRNA
Rfam family: Bacterial small subunit ribosomal RNA
Source: RNAcentral